CGCUUUUGUGCGCUUCUGAAGGUACAGUAGUCACAUGAUCCAAACGGGAACAAACUCCAUUAGAACUCUUGAUAGUGCAUACAUAGUGAUCUAGCUCUGAGCGCAACAUGAUCAUCGACAGAAUUAUCGAGAACGGCCUGAAUCUUGUGCAUCCAGGGACUGUUGUAACGAGCCCCGUGUAUUUGGGGUCUUUUUACCAGGAUACCUCACCUGCAACGGAGAUCAACAACUCUCUCUGUGCGCCAAACGAGUUUGAUGGCUGGGGUAAGGUUGGGAGCCCGACUCCGCCAACUGCAGACAGUGCCACGAACGAGUGUUGCAUGAGUGAGGUGCGGUCUUUUGGCCGUUUCCAAGGUGUGCGGGUGAAGAAUACAGUGAAAGAACUCAUCAUGCAGAAGCGCCUUAGCAACCAAAAUGUACAGCAACACUCUGAGGGAGAAUACACAGAGUUGACCUCCCUUCUUCAAGGGCAUAAGAGGACUGCGGACUUCAGCUUGAUAACCCAUUCACCUGCUAAAAGACUUGCUACUGCAAAGGCAAUCCUGAGUCUGAGCCCUCCAGAGGGAAGCACACUGGACAUUGACUUCAUGGAACUUGGAUAUGAGUCCAUGAAAUCAGAGACCUCCCCACAAGAGACCCUCCCUGACUACUUCAGCCACAUCGACUAUCAGUCCCUCUACCCUCAAACCCACAUGCCACAAGCAAUGGGAAACUCCUAUGUCCCCCAGCAUUUCAUAGCCCCGCUAACCCAAAAGGGUGUUUGGCCAUUGGCUCAGUUUGCUGAAGGGGAGCCGACGUCCUUCUUUCAAUGGCAGAUACGACAGGAAGAGGAGAAGUUGGCGGGGCUCACCCCCGAGAUGCUCACAAGCCAGGAUAAUGAUGGAGACACAUUCUUGCACAUAGCUGUGGCACAGGGCAGAAGGGCUCUAGCUUAUGUGCUGGCCAGCAAGAUGGCUACUGUCGGCAUGCUGGAUAUGAAGGAGCACAAUGGCCAGAGUGCCCUUCAAUUGAGCGUUGCAGCCAAUCAACAUCUGAUAGUGCAGGACCUGUUGGCCCAGGGGGCUCAGAUCAACACCACUGACUGCUGGGGCCGCACCCCUCUGCAUGUGUGUGCAGAGAAGGGCCACGCUCUCACUCUCCAGACCAUCCAUAGAGCUCUGAAGGGUAAAGGGCAGGAGCUUAGUGUGGAAGAAGUCAACUAUGAUGGCCUAACUCCACUUCAGACAGCGGUCCGGUCUCACAAUGCGGUUGUCCAGGAGUUGGGCCGUAUGGCGGCGACCCCCCAGUCCCCUGGGGAGGUGGAGUUGAUGCAGAGAAGGAAGCUACUGAGGCAGUGUGUCAACACACUGCUCCUCAUGGGAGCCUCCUGUGCAACUAAGGAUCAUAAAAGUGGCCGCACCUCCCUGCACAUGGCUUCUCAGGAGGCCAAUGUGGAGCUUUUACGCAUCUUCCUCGACCAGCCAGACUCUCUGUCUAUCGUCAAUGUCAAGGUGAGAUACUACUACAGUACCUAAUGUCAAGGUGAGAUACUACUACAGUACCUAAUGUCAAGGUGAGAUACUGCUACAGUACCUAAUGUCAAGGUGAGAUACUGCUACAGUACCUAAUGUCAAGGUGAGAUACUGCUACAGUACCUAAUGUCAAGGUGAGAUACUACUACAGUACCUAAUGUCAAGGUGAGAUACUACUACAGUACCUAAUGUCAAGGUGAGAUACUACUACAGUACCUAAUGUCAAGGUGAGAUACUACUACAGUACCUAAUGUCAAGGUGAGAUACUGCUACAGUACCUAAUGUCAAGGUGAGAUACUACUACAGUACCUAAUGUCAAGGUGAGAUACUACUACAGUACCUAAUGUCAAGGUGAGAUACUGCUACAGUACCUAAUGUCAAGGUGAGAUACUACUACAGUACCUAAUGUCAAGGUGAGAUACUACUACAGUACCUAAUGUCAAGGUGAGAUACUGCUACAGUACCUAAUGUCAAGGUGAGAUACUACUACAGUACCUAAUGUCAAGGUGAGAUACUACUACAGUACCUAAUGUCAAGGUGAGAUACUACUACAGUACCUAAUGUCAAGGUGAGAUACUGCUACAGUACCUAAUGUCAAGGUGAGAUACUGCUACAGUACCUAAUGUCAAGGUGAGAUACUACUACAGUACCUAAUGUCAAGGUGAGAUACUGCUACAGUACCUAAUGUCAAGGUGAGAUACUACUACAGUACCUAAUGUCAAGGUGAGAUACUACUACAGUACCUAAUGUCAAGGUGAGAUACUGCUACAGUACCUAAUGUCAAGGUGAGAUACUACUACAGUACCUAAUGUCAAGGUGAGAUACUACUACAGUACCUAAUGUCAAGGUGAGAUACUGCUACAGUACCUAAUGUCAAGGUGAGAUACUACUACAGUACCUAAUGUCAAGGUGAGAUACUACUACAGUACCUAAUGUCAAGGUGAGAUACUACUACAGUACCUAAUGUCAAGGUGAGAUACUGCUACAGUACCUAAUGUCAAGGUGAGAUACUGCUACAGUACCUAAUGUCAAGGUGAGAUACUACUACAGUACCUAAUGUCAAGGUGAGAUACUGCUACAGUACCUAAUGUCAAGGUGAGAUACUACUACAGUACCUAAUGUCAAGGUGAGAUACUACUACAGUACCUAAUGUCAAGGUGAGAUACUGCUACAGUACCUAAUGUCAAGGUGAGAUACUACUACAGUACCUAAUGUCAAGGUGAGAUACUACUACAGUACCUAAUGUCAAGGUGAGAUACUGCUACAGUACCUAAUGUCAAGGUGAGAUACUACUACAGUACCUAAUGUCAAGGUGAGAUACUACUACAGUACCUAAUGUCAAGGUGAGAUACUACUACAGUACCUAAUGUCAAGGUGAGAUACUGCUACAGUACCUAAUGUCAAGGUGAGAUACUGCUACAGUACCUAAUGUCAAGGUGAGAUACUACUACAGUACCUAAUGUCAAGGUGAGAUACUACUACAGUACCUAAUGUCAAGGUGAGAUACUGCUACAGUACCUAAUGUCAAGGUGAGAUACUACUACAGUACCUAAUGUCAAGGUGAGAUACUACUACAGUACCUAAUGUCAAGGUGAGAUACUACUACAGUACCUAAUGUCAAGGUGAGGUCUCGCCUCUCUCUGGAAAACAAACGUACAUGAUAACAAAUCGGCGUUCUGGCUCAAAUUCUGAGCUGACAAACAGUGUUCCCAUUGUUCAUUGUUUUUUGGUCAUCAGGAGGUAAGUUAACUAAACCCUCUAACAUGAGUUCUGUCUACCAGGCAUUCAGUGGAAACACAGCACUGCACUUUGCCAGUUCUGUGCAUGGUCGCCUGACUCAGGUAGAUGCUGUGAAACUGCUGAUGAGGAGAGGGGCCGACCCCAGCUCCAAGAACCUGGAGAAUGAGCAGCCUGCCCAGCUG
Non-coding RNA from Oncorhynchus mykiss (rainbow trout), 3433 nucleotides. The record is from RefSeq and is a predicted model, not a curated record. NCBI's taxonomy places the organism in Eukaryota, Metazoa, Chordata, Actinopteri, Salmoniformes, Salmonidae.